ACGGAAGGCAGCAGUGGGGAAUAUUAGGCAAUGGGGGAACCCUGACCUAGCGACGCCGCGUGAAGGAUGAAGGUUUUCGGAUUGUAAACUUCUUUUAAGAGGGACGAUAAUGACGGUACCUCUUGAAUAAGCCACGGCUAACUACGUGCCAGCAGCCGCGGUAAUACGUAGGUGGCGAGCGUUGUCCGGAUUUACUGGGUGUAAAGGGCGAGUAGGCGGGCUAACAAGUCAGAUGUGAAAUACCGAGGCUCAACUUCGGGGCUGCAUUUGAAACUGUAAGUCUUGAGUGAUGGAGAGGCAGGCGGAAUUCCCAGUGUAGCGGUAAAAUGCGUAGAGAUUGGGAGGAACACCAGUGGCGAAGGCGGCCUGCUGGACAUUAACUGACGCUGAGGAGCGAAAGUGUGGGGAGCAAACAGGAUUAGAUACCCUGGUA
Molecule: ribosomal RNA, 433 nt
Filed under: uncultured Oscillospiraceae bacterium
Lineage: Bacteria; Bacillati; Bacillota; Clostridia; Eubacteriales; Oscillospiraceae
Description: partial 16S ribosomal RNA
Rfam family: Bacterial small subunit ribosomal RNA
Source: RNAcentral